GCCGGGGUGGCCGAGCGGUCAAAAGGCGGCGGAUUGCUAAUCCGCUGGCGAUUUCGCCUCCCGGGUUCGAAUCCCGGCCCCGGCGCCA
Molecule: transfer RNA, 88 nt
Filed under: Thermofilum adornatum
Lineage: Archaea; Thermoproteati; Thermoproteota; Thermoprotei; Thermofilales; Thermofilaceae
Description: tRNA-Ser (GCT) (tRNA-Ser-GCT-1-1)
Rfam family: tRNA
About the family: Transfer RNA (tRNA) molecules are approximately 80 nucleotides in length. Their secondary structure includes four short double-helical elements and three loops (D, anti-codon, and T loops). Further hydrogen bonds mediate the characteristic L-shaped molecular structure. tRNAs have two regions of fundamental functional importance: the anti-codon, which is responsible for specific mRNA codon recognition, and the 3' end, to which the tRNAs corresponding amino acid is attached (by aminoacyl-tRNA synthetases). tRNAs cope with the degeneracy of the genetic code in two manners: having more than one tRNA (with a specific anti-codon) for a particular amino acid; and 'wobble' base-pairing, i.e. permitting non-standard base-pairing at the 3rd anti-codon position.
Source: RNAcentral